This 850-nucleotide ribosomal RNA is filed under the name Pseudomonas sp. I11B-02604. RNAcentral's name for it is "bacterial SSU rRNA". It matches the Rfam family "Bacterial small subunit ribosomal RNA", at positions 48 to 893 of the family's 1533-position model. The record is from RNAcentral. Lineage: Bacteria; Pseudomonadati; Pseudomonadota; Gammaproteobacteria; Pseudomonadales; Pseudomonadaceae.
GCUACACAUGCAAGUCGAGCGGAUGAGAGGAGCUUGCUCCUCGAUUCAGCGGCGGACGGGUGAGUAAUGCCUAGGAAUCUGCCUAGUAGUGGGGGACAACGUUUCGAAAGGAACGCUAAUACCGCAUACGUCCUACGGGAGAAAGUGGGGGAUCUUCGGACCUCACGCUAUUAGAUGAGCCUAGGUCGGAUUAGCUAGUUGGUAGGGUAAAGGCCUACCAAGGCGACGAUCCGUAACUGGUCUGAGAGGAUGAUCAGUCACACUGGAACUGAGACACGGUCCAGACUCCUACGGGAGGCAGCAGUGGGGAAUAUUGGACAAUGGGCGAAAGCCUGAUCCAGCCAUGCCGCGUGUGUGAAGAAGGCCCUCGGGUCGUAAAGCACUUUAAGUUGGGAGGAAGGGCUCGUAGCGAAUACCUGUGAGUUUUGACGUUACCAACAGAAUAAGCACCGGCUAACUUCGUGCCAGCAGCCGCGGUAAUACGAAGGGUGCAAGCGUUAAUCGGAAUUACUGGGCGUAAAGCGCGCGUAGGUGGCUUGAUAAGUUGGAUGUGAAAUCCCCGGGCUCAACCUGGGAACUGCAUCCAAAACUGUCUGGCUAGAGUGCGGUAGAGGGUAGUGGAAUUUCCAGUGUAGCGGUGAAAUGCGUAGAUAUUGGAAGGAACACCAGUGGCGAAGGCGACUACCUGGACUGACACUGACACUGAGGUGCGAAAGCGUGGGGAGCAAACAGGAUUAGAUACCCUGGUAGUCCACGCCGUAAACGAUGUCAACUAGCCGUUGGGAUCCUUGAGAUCUUAGUGGCGCAGCUAACGCAUUAAGUUGACCGCCUGGGGAGUACGGCCGCAAGG